UACGUAGGGGGCAAGCGUUGUCCGGAUUUAUUGGGCGUAAAGAGCUCGUAGGUGGUUUGGUAAGUCGGAUGUGAAAUCUCCAGGCUCAACCUGGAGGGGUCAUUCGAUACUGCCGUGACUAGAGUUCGGUAGGGGAGUGUGGAAUUCCUGGUGGAGCGGUGAAAUGCGCAGAUAUCAGGAGGAACACCGAUGGCGAAGGCAGGUCUCUGGGCCACUACUGACGCUGAGAAGCGAAAGCAUGGGGAGCGAACAGG
RNAcentral lists this ribosomal RNA (254 nucleotides) under uncultured bacterium. RNAcentral's name for it is "partial 16S ribosomal RNA". It matches the Rfam family "Bacterial small subunit ribosomal RNA", at positions 524 to 776 of the family's 1533-position model. The record is from RNAcentral.